This 494-nucleotide ribosomal RNA is filed under the name uncultured bacterium. Its description in RNAcentral is "partial 16S ribosomal RNA". It matches the Rfam family "Bacterial small subunit ribosomal RNA", at positions 28 to 507 of the family's 1533-position model. The record is from RNAcentral.
GACGAACGCUGGCGGCGUGCUUAACACAUGCCAGUCGAACGGUGAAGCGCCUUCCUUUUUGGUGGGUGUGGAUGAGUGGCGAACGGGUGAGUAACACGUGAGUAACCUGCCCCCUUCUUCUGGAUAACCGCAUGAAAGUGUGGCUAAUACGGGAUAUUCUGGGUCUGUCGCAUGAUGGGUCUGGGAAAGAUAUUGUUUCGGUGGGGGAUGGGCUCGCGGCCUAUCAGCUUGUUGGGGGGGUGAUGGCCUACCAAGGCGGUGGCGGGUAGCCGGCCUGAGGGGGUGGACGGUCACACUGGGACUGAGACACGGCCCGGACUCCUACGGGAGGCAGCAGUGGGGAAUAUUGCACAAUGGGCGCAAGCCUGAUGCAGCGACGCCGCGUGAGGGAUGGAGGCCUUCGGGUUGUGAACCUCUUUCGCCAGUGAAGCAGGCCUGCCUCGUUUGUGGGUGGGUUGACGGUAGCUGGAUAAGAAGCGCCGGCUAACUACGUG